Molecule: ribosomal RNA, 677 nt
Filed under: Torulaspora delbrueckii
Lineage: Eukaryota; Fungi; Ascomycota; Saccharomycetes; Saccharomycetales; Saccharomycetaceae
Description: eukaryotic LSU rRNA
Rfam family: Eukaryotic large subunit ribosomal RNA
Source: RNAcentral
GGGAUUGCCUUUUCCCGGCGAGUGAAANGGCAAAAGCUCCAUUUGAAAUCUGGUACCUUCGGUGCCCGAGUUGUAAUUUGUAGAAGGUAACUUUGGGGCUGGUCCUUGUCUAUGUUCCUUGGAACAGGACGUCAUAGAGGGUGAGAAUCCCGUGUGGCGAGGAUCCCAGUUCUUUGUAAAGUGCUUUCGAAGAGUCGAGUUGUUUGGGAAUGCAGCUCUAAGUGGGUGGUAAAUUCCAUCUAAAGCUAAAUAUUGGCGAGAGACCGAUAGCGAACAAGUACAGUGAUGGAAAGAUGAAAAGAACUUUGAAAAGAGAGUGAAAAAGUACGUGAAAUUGUUGAAAGGGAAGGGCAUUUGAUCAGACAUGGUGUUUUGCGCCCUCUGCUCCUUGUGGGUGGGGGAAUCUCGCAGCUCACUGGGCCAGCAUCAGUUUUGGCGGCAGGAUAAAUCUGCAGGAAUGUAGCUUGCCUCGGUAAGUGUUAUAUCCUGUAGAAAUACUGCCAGCUGGGACUGAGGACUGCGACUUUACGUCAAGGAUGCUGGCAUAAUGGUUAUAUGCCGCCCGUCUUGAAACACGGACCAAGGAGUCUAACGUCUAUGCGAGUGUUUGGGUGUAAACCCGUACGCGUAAUGAAAAGUGAACGUAGGUUGGGGCCUCGCAAGAGGUGCACAAUCGA